UUGUGUUACUAAAGGUCACUGCACUCUGGCAGUUACAUUUUAUUGAUAGCCUCUGUUAUUUGCUUGGUUCAAUGAAGAAGGUAGAGAAGUGUGUGGUGUACAACAGAUCAGCAUUAGAGGGAACUGGGGCAGAGGAGAAUGGCAGGAGCAGUCGGCAUCAGGAACAGCAGGCUGUGCCAGCAGAUUGGCUCAGGGGCAGCCCCGGACCAUCCAGACUGUUGCAGAUGGAGGGAGCAUUCAGGAGAGUGGGAAGAGUCAGGAUCCAGGAUGAUUGAACUCAAGGCCUCACACAAUUACUCUACCAGUGAGUUACAUCUCCAGACCUUUUUAAUUUUGUGACAGGAUCUCUCUAAAUGGCCUUGAUUUUGCAAUCCUCUUGCAUCAGCCUCCUGAGUAGGUGGGAUUAUAGACGUGUGCCUCCCCCACCACACCUGACCUAAUUCUAACCAUUCAUCUAAAAGAUGAGAAUGGAACACUCUUCCCACCCACUUCCAAUAACAGCAAACUCUGAGCUGGAAAUUAGAAAACACUGAUCUCCUACUCAUGGAACCCCUUUCCGUGGUGAAAAAGCCUUAUGUGUUGCUAUGUGUUCUGAUUUUAGGGCAAAUAAAUAAUCAUAUUACA
This is a non-coding RNA of Heterocephalus glaber (naked mole-rat), 624 nucleotides long. The record is from RefSeq and is a predicted model, not a curated record. NCBI's taxonomy places the organism in Eukaryota, Metazoa, Chordata, Mammalia, Rodentia, Bathyergidae.